AACGUAGGUUCCGAGCGUUAUCCGGAUUUACUGGGCGUAAAGCGCGUUCAGGCGGUUUGACAAGUCGGGCCUGAAAUCUCUCGGCUCAACCGGGAGAGGUUGUCCGAUACUUUCAGACUUGAGGGCAGUAGAGGGUGGUGGAAUUCCGGGUGUAGUGGUGAAAUGCGCAGAUAUCGGGAGGAACACCAAUGGCGAAGGCAGCUUGCUGGGACGGUACUGACGCUGAGACGCGAAAGCGUGGGGAGCAAACAGG
Molecule: ribosomal RNA, 253 nt
Filed under: uncultured bacterium
Lineage: Bacteria
Description: partial 16S ribosomal RNA
Rfam family: Bacterial small subunit ribosomal RNA
Source: RNAcentral